CUUAGCCCUAUCUCCCUCUAGGGUUAAAUAUAACCCUAUAAAAUAAUAUAUAUAUAUAUAUAUAUAUAGAGAACGAUGUUUCAGUGCAGAAAAAAAAUAAUAAAUAGGAUGUUUUGGUGCAGAGAAGAUAUCGGCAUAUGCCCACUAAGUUAUUAAUGAAAUUAUGAAAUAUCAUUAAAAAAAUGGGUUUCUACGUGGAAAAUCUCCCUUUAUGUUAACUAAUCACGUGGCAACAUAAAAACAUGCAAAAGCCAGUUCUUGGUAGCGCUGUUUCUGAAAGGAUGAUUAGCCUCCUUCUAAAGCUUUUGUUUUCUUCAACGGAACCAACAAUCCCAAUGGUUGAUUGAAGAGUAAAAGCAUGUGCCGAGAUCAUUUGAAAAGAUACUUGGUGUGGGAGGCAUGCAUUAGCAACAUUCACCAUCCCAUGAGCUUCUACCAUUCAGUUUCCAUACCCAGAAAGAGCCUUCAGGACAGCCAGAGAACCAUGAGUAACUUGAGAACCCUUCAACUCCAGUCCAGAGUCAGGUAGUCAACGGGAAACCCACCUAGUCCAUACCAAGAAUACUCGAGUCAACCCUGGCUUUUACCAUGGACGAGGCGGCAUUCCUUCACUAAAAGGAAAUAAAAAAGUGACCGUGCCAAUCUUCCCAGCUAUUGAAUCACUCGUAAAUUAUCAUCAAACAAAGUCAGCGGGCAAGAAAUUUUAAGACGCUGCCCAAUUUGAGUUUACUGAGAUUGGUGCCAUUCCUCACUAGAACAGCCAGGAAAGAAGCAUCAUUCGAUGUCCAACCAAGGAUUUGCACAAAUAGGCAGGGUAAUGCAUCAUGGAAUUAGAAUAUUCUUUGAGGAUGAGGGAUACUGUCAAGAUCGGGCCUUGUCCAACCGAAAUGCUGGGAACAUGAGAAACAAAAAGUCAUCAUGAAUUCAAGCUACUCACAAUGUCCAAAUAACUCCAGCUGUGUCGAAGAAUUUGAGUCAUACUGAGACUGAUUCUCCCUCACGAGAAAAGGAUACACAGGAUUUCGAUUGUCACUGCCAAACAUCUUCCUGGAAAUCCGAAAAUUAAUCGUUAGUAAUUCACAGUGGCCGAUGUGCAUUCAAGACAAAUGGAAAAAAUAGGCAAAAAAACUCUCGGAACAUAAGUCUUCUUGAGACAGAGUAGCAACUGAUUACUUGAUCAAACGGCCAUAGAUUGUAUUACUGAAAGCAGAAGAACUAGCACAGGAGGAUUCAAGACAUCAAGAGUUUGUGAUUUAAAGCCUGGUAUCCUAAGAAGCAACGCCUACGCAUACAUAUAUAUAUAUAUAUAUAUAUAUAUAUAUAUAUAUAUAUAUAUAUAUAUAUAUAUAUAUAUAUAUAUAUAUAUCAGGAUGGGUGUUUAAAUGAGAGGUCAGAAGUCUAGCUCAAGUCAGAAUCAACAAAAACGGAAGGCUCUGCCGCCUGUUGUUCAUUCAGUCUAUAUGUUCAAAUUUGUGUAUAUAUAUAUCUACAUAUUCCCACAGCCCGAACGUUAAGCGCCUAUCAAUCAACAGAUGAAUCAAAGGCAAACGAUGGUGGACUAGAGAAACUGGGGACGCCCAAGGAUAAUCAGUAAGCGUAGUAAUUCCUUCAACUUCAAAGAAAAAAAUGAAACCGCUUUCGUUUCCCGAUUCGAAGGUUUAUAUUAUCUCAAAGCUUUGGACGAUCCUCGCACUACUUCAAAGAAAAGGCGGAUGCUCCCGCAAGACCCGCACUCGAAGGGAAGCAGAGAGUCAUCCAUGCGGCCCCCAUGGAACCAGCAAUUAAGGAAUAGAUAGCACGAGAUAAGGACCGAUUCAAUCGCAAACGAAUGAAACUCUCCGGAAAACACACUCCCAACCUUCCGUCCCUAUGAGAAGAAGGGAAAACCAGACGUCCAAGGAAACUGGACCCUAGACCCUCAUCCAGCCACCAUCGACUAAAAUAGCACAAGGAAAAGAGAGAAGCAGGGGGAACUCGUGUCUGCAACAUACGGCGACAGAGGGUUCUCUUCUAGGCGAGCCGAUCCCAUCGAACCCACACCGACCCCAAUUCGGGACCAAAAUCAACCCGGAAAAGGAGCAUGCUUUGUGGGUUGGAUUGCGGAGAGCACCCAACAGCCGUGAGGCGAACGUUCUUCCCCCCGUCUUUAAUUCCUCGCACGCCUCUUCUGGGGCCUCCCUUGCCUGUUGUUACUCGGCGUCGGCGGUAUCUUUCGUAUUCGGCUCUAACUUCGACGGGGCUCCGUUUCCGGCCGUAGAACCGGAAAUGACUUAAAUACCAUCCAUACCGUUACAAUAUCAACAGAUGAGUCCGGGGUAUAAUUGUAAACUUUCUGACGUUACCCUUCUCUGCUUUUAAUCGUUGCAAGUGUCCAUGAUUUUUCCUUCUUUAUUCGUAGGGACGGAGUUUAUAAUAUUAUAUUGGCUUU
This 2428-nucleotide long non-coding RNA is filed under the name Spirodela polyrhiza (greater duckweed). RNAcentral's name for it is "long non-coding RNA (SPOL_LNC002598)". The record is from RNAcentral. Lineage: Eukaryota; Viridiplantae; Streptophyta; Magnoliopsida; Alismatales; Araceae.